UCCGGUUGAUCCUGCCGGAGGCCACUGCUAUCGGGGUCCGACUAAGCCAUGCGAGUCAUGGGGCUCCCUUUUGGGAGCACCGGCGAACGGCUCAGUAACACGUGGCUAACCUACCCUCGGGUGGGGGAUAACCUCGGGAAACUGAGGCUAAUCCCCCAUAGGGGAGGAGGUCUGGAAUGAUCCCUCCCCGAAAGGCGUAAGCCGCCCGAGGAUGGGGCUGCGGCGGAUUAGGUAGUUGGUGGGGUAAUGGCCCACCAAGCCUACGAUCCGUACGGGCCCUGAGAGGGGGAGCCCGGAGAUGGACACUGAGACACGGGUCCAGGCCCUACGGGGCGCAGCAGGCGCGAAACCUCCGCAAUGCGCGAAAGCGCGACGGGGGGACCCCGAGUGCCCUGCCUCUGGCAGGGCUUUUCCGGAGUGUAAACAGCUCCGGGAAUAAGGGCUGGGCAAGUCCGGUGCCAGCAGCCGCGGUAAUACCGGCGGCCCAAGUGGUGGCCACUGUUAUUGGGCCUAAAGCGUCCGUAGCCGGCCCGGUAAGUCUCUGCUUAAAUCCCGCGGCUUAACCGCGGGGCUGGCAGAGAUACUGCCGGGCUUGGGACCGGGAGAGGCCGGGGGUACCCCAGGGGUAGCGGUGAAAU
Molecule: ribosomal RNA, 638 nt
Filed under: uncultured archaeon
Lineage: Archaea
Description: bacterial SSU rRNA
Rfam family: Archaeal small subunit ribosomal RNA
Source: RNAcentral